AUUGAACGCUAGCGGGAUGCUUUACACAUGCAAGUCGAACGGCAGCGCGGACUUCGGUCUGGCGGCGAGUGGCGAACGGGUGAGUAAUGUAUCGGAACGUGCCCAGUAGCGGGGGAUAACUACGCGAAAGCGUAGCUAAUACCGCAUACGCCCUACGGGGGAAAGCAGGGGAUCGUAAGACCUUGCACUAUUGGAGCGGCCGAUAUCGGAUUAGCCAGUUGGUGAGGUAACGGCUCACCAAGGCGACGAUCCGUAGCUGGUUUGAGAGGACGACCAGCCACACUGGGACUGAGACACGGCCCAGACUCCUACGGGAGGCAGCAGUGGGGAAUUUUGGACAAUGGGGGCAACCCUGAUCCAGCCAUCCCGCGUGUGCGAUGAAGGCCUUCGGGUUGUAAAGCACUUUUGGCAGGAAAGAAACGUCGCGGGCUAAUACCCCGUGGAACUGACGGUACCUGCAGAAUAAGCACCGGCUAACUACGUG
This 484-nucleotide ribosomal RNA is filed under the name uncultured bacterium. RNAcentral's name for it is "partial 16S ribosomal RNA". It matches the Rfam family "Bacterial small subunit ribosomal RNA", at positions 30 to 507 of the family's 1533-position model. The record is from RNAcentral.